UGUAAAUUUCAUUCCCGGGCUACUAUACAGUCUCAAAGGCAACGUAACCAAUCUGGCGAAUUUCAAUUUCAAAUGUAACGUGCUAUAUUUGACCCUGCAACUUCCCAAAACGCCAUAAAACCUGUACAUAGGGGGUACUGUCUUACACGUGAGACUUUGCUGAAUACAAAUAUGUGUAUUUUAUUGCAGUAAAAGCAAACCGUAUUAUGACAUUGACAGUUAAAAUGUCAUGUAGAACUAAAAAA
This 245-nucleotide long non-coding RNA is filed under the name Pelobates cultripes (western spadefoot toad). The record is from RNAcentral. Lineage: Eukaryota; Metazoa; Chordata; Amphibia; Anura; Pelobatidae.